ACGGCGUGAAAUUAAAUAUUGAAUUGAAAAUAAUACUACGUCCAUAUCGAAGUGAAAGUGUAUGUAAAACGACUUAUAGUUAAAAUUUAGGUAAACUAGCAUUCAUGGAAAAAAUAGUCUAAUGCUUCUGGUGGAAAGACUGUUUUAAUAUAACGAUGCCUAUUUCUGGAUCGCGAUCGGCGGGAACGAUGUCUGGAUCGCGAGCGAGACCUCUUCCCGCGAUGUCGCGACCGGGAUCUCCGGGACCGGGACCGGGAACGGCGGCGGGAUCGAGAACGAGACCGAGUCCUGUUACAAACUCCCUUAUAUAAUAAAUAGUGAUUGUACUAUGAAAUAGAAACUCGAACUUGUAAUAAAUAUUUUUUUGAUAGAUUAAAAUAUAUAGCCCAUGGAGCUACUGCAUGUUAAGUGAAUACAGUUCAUGGACACCAGUAACAGAAAUUAUCUCACAUCAUUCAAUCUAAUUUUUAUUAAAACUUUUCAGAUAUCCAUCAUGAAUAGAAGUAACAACUAAAAACUAUAGAAUGUAACUAAUCGCCAUUAUCUCAAACAAAAUUAACACUUUUAUCAUAUUAGCAAAGUAAAAAAAUUCUAAUGACACUGUAUAAAAUGAAUAUAGCUUAUCAAAACUGAUACCUUUAAGGCAAUAUUACUUUGAGAAAACAAUUGAAAAUAGUUUCCUUUUGCAGAUUUUAUGGCCUGGUAACAAUAGCUUCAUAUACAUACAAAGACAAUAAUUUAAAAUUAAUACCAUUGUUUGAAAAAAAUUCAAGUAUUACAUAAUCAAUGAAGAUCAUUCUUGAACAAGAUUAAGUACUAUAAAUCCUUUACUUGGAACCCCAACCUCUGCAGACCUUAUUUUGCUGUUUAGUUACUUACCUUUAACAUUAGUUGAUACUGUUAAUGAAAAUAAUAAUUGCUAAUACAAACCUGAGUGAUGUUGAUAUUUUACAUAGGAGAUUGGUUAAUAUUCUAUAAAACUAAAUUAAGUUUUCUACUGACCCUUUUUGUAGAUUGUAAAUGCAAACAAAUAAAGACAGCAACUGACUUGCAAUGAUCUAGUGCAAUGAGACAAGUAAUUUUAGGCAAAUGUGUGACUAAUAACUCUAUUAACUUGUCUUAUUGCUAA
Long non-coding RNA from Pieris brassicae (large cabbage white), 1129 nucleotides. RefSeq lists it as uncharacterized. Lineage: Eukaryota; Metazoa; Arthropoda; Insecta; Lepidoptera; Pieridae. The record is from RefSeq and is a predicted model, not a curated record. The transcript has 2 exons.